GAUCCGGCUCAGAACGAACGCUGGCGGCAGGCUUAACACAUGCAAGUUGAACGGGAUUUGUAUGGUGCUUGCACCAUGUAAUGAGAGUAGCGCACUGGUGAGUAACACGUGGGAACAUACCUUGAAGUGGGGGACAACAGUUGGAAACGACUGCUAAUACCGCAUAAUCCCUGAGGGGGAAAGAUUUAUCGCUUUAAGAUUUGGCCCGCGGAAGAUUAGGUAGUUGGUGGGGUAAAGGCCUACCGAAGCCGACGA
This 255-nucleotide ribosomal RNA is filed under the name uncultured bacterium. RNAcentral describes it as "partial 16S ribosomal RNA". It matches the Rfam family "Bacterial small subunit ribosomal RNA", at positions 15 to 279 of the family's 1533-position model. The record is from RNAcentral.